CGUAGCCGCGGUAAUACCGAGGGUGCGAGCGUUAAUCGGAUUUACUGGGCGUAAAGCGUGCGUAGGCGGCUUUUUAAGUCGGAUGUGAAAUCCCUGAGCUUAACUUAGGAAUUGCAUUCGAUACUGGGAAGCUAGAGUAUGGGAGAGGAUGGUAGAAUUCCAGGUGUAGCGGUGAAAUGCGUAGAGAUCUGGAGGAAUACCGAUGGCGAAGGCAGCCAUCUGGCCUAAUACUGACGCUGAGGUACGAAAGCAUGGGGAGCAAACAGGAUUAGAUACCCCGGUAGUCCCUGUCUCUUAUACA
RNAcentral lists this ribosomal RNA (301 nucleotides) under uncultured bacterium. Its description in RNAcentral is "partial 16S ribosomal RNA". It matches the Rfam family "Bacterial small subunit ribosomal RNA", at positions 510 to 808 of the family's 1533-position model. The record is from RNAcentral.